CGUGCCGGUGCUGGGCGACUUCACCGACGUUCCGCUGGUGGUGGAACAGGUCCGGGCGGACACGGUGGCGGUGCUGGCCUGCCCGGAGCUG
This 91-nucleotide transfer RNA is filed under the name Microbispora rosea subsp. rosea. RNAcentral's name for it is "tRNA-Thr". The record is from RNAcentral. Lineage: Bacteria; Bacillati; Actinomycetota; Actinomycetes; Streptosporangiales; Streptosporangiaceae.